CAGCAGCCACGGGAAUACGUAGGGUGCGAGCGUUAAUCGGAAUUACUGGGCGUAAAGCGUGCGCAGGCGGUUAUAUAAGACAGAUGUGAAAUCCCCGGGCUCAACCUGGGACCUGCAUUUGUGACUGUAUAGCUAGAGUACGGUAGAGGGGGAUGGAAUUCCGCGUGUAGCAGUGAAAUGCGUAGAUAUGCGGAGGAACACCGAUGGCGAAGGCAAUCCCCUGGACCUGUACUGACGCUCAUGCACGAAAGCGUGGGGAGCAAACAGGAUUAGAUACCCCGGUAGUCCCUGUCUCUUAUAC
Molecule: ribosomal RNA, 301 nt
Filed under: uncultured bacterium
Lineage: Bacteria
Description: partial 16S ribosomal RNA
Rfam family: Bacterial small subunit ribosomal RNA
Source: RNAcentral